UACAGUCAGUCUACACAGAGUACCAUCUGGCCCGCUGGGGCUUCUUCUUCUGCAAUAAUUUCUCUCAAACUUCUUUGUUUCAAUUUGCAUAUUCCAACACCUCAAAUGGGUACACUUCACUUUUCUCACUUGCUUUUCAAACUGCACCAAAACCAGAAUGUACAUUCACAGCCAAAAAAAAAAAAAAAAAACACAACCUUUGUGGAAGUGUUUGAUUCAUUAGAUGUUUUGAAAGGUGGGGUUUUCUUCAAAAUUGGACCUUUUGUUCUCCAGGCUUUGCAAUUGUCACCAGAGAACCAACAUUGAUCAGAAAAUUAGCAAUGUUUUUUACGCAAGACACUGUAUGCUUUCUAAGGAAAUCUACCCUGAUGGUGGGCCAUUACAUGCCUCACCUGAUGUACUACAUCACUCUUGUCUUGGUUGAAGUAUUUGGCCAAUUCCAGGCAGAAGAGAGUCCUUCCAUCUGACUUGAAAUGGCUGGCUUGAAUUGGGUCUUGUGGAUUAAAGGAUGACCUCCAGUUAUUCAGCAGACCAGUCCUGUUUAUUAUCACAAAACCUUCAAUGUAAUCAAACGUCCUCCCCAAAGAUAUUAGAUGCUCCUGGUCUUGGGCAAAUGUGGCGAAAUCCGACUUAAAUGAUUUUGGUUUUUACCAUAUCCGGUGCUGGCUCCAGUGAUAUUCUUGCUCGGGUUAUAAUGCCAAACUGGCCAAGUCCUCCAAGAACACUGUGAAAGAGGUCACUGUUAUGCUUCUCUGAACAAGUUACAACGUCACCUUUUCCUGCACAUAUUUGGGUCCAACUUUCAGCUUUCAUGCAGGAUAUUUAUCCAUAAUUCGCCACCAGAGACAUCCACAUAUGGAGAAUUUCCAGUGUAAACCUGCAUUUCUGGGCCUUGGAGAGACUCCAUACUGAUCACAACUCCACGGUGUGCUUGGGACUGGCCCUGGAGUGCGUGACCAUGGCCUCUAGCUGCAACUGUGAGCUCUGAAUGAGAACCCAUCUGCCAAAUAUGCUUUAUAGUAUUGGCAAUAUCAGAAACUGACUUUGGAUGCAGUAUUGCUGCAGGGAGGAAUUGGUACCUGUUACCAAAAUCUUUGGCCGCAAAGUGAACUUCAUCAAAGGUGAAAUGACCAUCAAGGGGAAGUGAUUUUAAUGUAGAAGGGAUGCUUGAAAGACAAAGGUUAUUUCUAAAAGCUAUGCAGCUUAAGAAUAGGAUCAUGAAGACUCUUAUGAAAAAAAUGUUGUUUUGUCUAACAAAGCUAACUUGUGGGUAUCUCAUUUUUUUUUUUUGUCAGAAGAGAGGGGAGGCAAAGGUGGAAGGAGUUUUAAUGCUAUAGCUUUUGUUUCUUUGUGAGCAAAAGCAAAGGAGAGGUUUGGAAGAGCCAAGGAAGUGAAGGGUUUAGGAGAGAAUUUAUAGGGGAAGGUUUGGGUGGCUAAUAAGUCAACCUAUCUUCAGUUGUUAGAGUCCGUAUGAAGACUGCCUACUUGGGUGGAAGAGUUUUAGGAUUUUCUUUUAGUUCUCCCUUCAAAGCUGUUUUCUUUAUAAGAGAAGCCAUCACACAUAUGCCAAAUUGGAGAGGAAAGUUACAAGAAAGAAAGAUUGCACGAAUCUUUGCACUUUUUCUAACAGUUGCAAACAUAACCCCACCUUUACCAUCAAGGACAACACGUCUCAAAACAUAUAUAUUUUGUUUUUCUUAAACCAAAUUAAGGAUAUUUUUCCCUUAUUUAGAAAAAAGUAGCCCCUUUGCCAUAAGGCGUAUUUUCCUGCCUAUAAUGAACGUACACACCAUAUCCGUGUCUUACUCAUAUGAAUGAUGAGUAUGUUCUUCCUAAAUCUAUUGUUGUCGGAAUUUUAACGUCGCAUAUCUUCUUUCAGAUCAGAUGAGAGAGACUAGCUGGGGCUAGCCUUGAUUCAUUUCAGAGGUAUAGAGAUGGACCAGUGGGGUAUUAAGGGUCCACAGGGCACGUGAACAUUCAAAUGGAUGUGUGCUUGUGGGGGGAAGGAAGAUGAUUGGUUAUGUUGGGGACCUUUUGGGGCCACUGUGAUGGGCUAAGGUGGAGAGAUUGAACAUGGGGAUGAUAGCAUAGAGGAAGCACUGAAAGAUUUCUCGUUUGCCUAUUUGCUGGUAUUGUUUUGAUGCCUUGGUUCCCAUCAAUCGGACAAGCUUGAAGGAUUCUCUUUGUUUAUAUGUUUUGUAUGCAAUUAAAUUUACUUUAGUGCAUAUUUUACUUUCCCACUUUUUGUUGCAAGUUGUCUAAGAGCACCCAAUGGGAAAUCUGCAAAUCCAAAGGAAAGCAUCACCCCCAUAUCUCUUUUUAUGGCUAUAUUAAUCUGUCACCUCCAAUGGUAGGCAAUAGGCAUCAAUGCUUGUAUAAUUCUUGUGUUCUUGAAAGUAGAACAAUGUCCUGUGUAGUUUUUGCAUGUGGUCCUCAAGAUAGUAUAAAUCACUUGGCACUGUA
This is a long non-coding RNA of Quercus robur (English oak), 2463 nucleotides long. RefSeq lists it as uncharacterized. Lineage: Eukaryota; Viridiplantae; Streptophyta; Magnoliopsida; Fagales; Fagaceae. The record is from RefSeq and is a predicted model, not a curated record. The transcript has 5 exons.